UUCCCAGGUCCAGGCCUGAGGCAGUCGGGGCUGAACCAUGACCCAUAUACAAAACACAAGACGCAGGAAGAGGUGUUACUGGAGAUCCACUGGACUCAACCCAGGCCAAAGUCUUCCUGAGGCCGAGAGGAAGCCACAGAGGAGAUGGGAUGAUAGCCUUACCAGCUGCUGUUUCUGGUAGUGGAUCUUGGCCGGCCUCUUCUCCAGGACAGCCCUCAGCACCGGGUUUUUCCAGGUGACCUCAGGAGCCAGUCACUUCAGAAACAGGAUUUCUCUGUGUAGCCCUGGCUGUCCUGGAAUCUACUCUGCACACUUGGCUGUCAAACUUCACAGAGAUCUGCUUGCUUCUGCCUAUUGAAUGCUGGGAAUAAAGAUGUGUGCCAUC
This 385-nucleotide long non-coding RNA is filed under the name Rattus norvegicus (Norway rat). Its description in RNAcentral is "long non-coding RNA NONRATT030616". The record is from RNAcentral. Lineage: Eukaryota; Metazoa; Chordata; Mammalia; Rodentia; Muridae.